RNAcentral lists this long non-coding RNA (594 nucleotides) under Salmo salar (Atlantic salmon). RNAcentral describes it as "lncRNA (ENSSSAG00000081735.1)". The record is from RNAcentral. Lineage: Eukaryota; Metazoa; Chordata; Actinopteri; Salmoniformes; Salmonidae.
AGAGAGACAGGAAACACAGGGAUAAAUACACUGGCACAGAGAGACAGGAAACACAGGGAUAAAUACACUGGGGCAGAGAGACAGGAAACACAGGGAUAAAUACACUGGCACAGAGAGACAGGAAACACAGGGAUAAAUACACUGGCACAGAGAGACAGGAAACACAGGGAUAAAUACACUGGCACAGAGAGACAGGAAACACAGGGAUAAAUACACUGGCACAGAGAGACUGGAAACACAGGGAUAAAUAGACUGGGGCAGAGAGACAGGAAACACAGGGAUAAAUACACUGGCACAGAGAGACAGGAAACACAGGGAUAAAUACACUGGGGCAGAGAGACAGGAAACACAGGGAUAAAUACACUGGCACAGAGAGACAGGAAACACAGGGAUAAAUACACUGGGGCAGAGAGACAGGAAACACAGGGAUAAAUACACUGGCACUGAGAGACAGGAAACACAGGGAUAAAUACACUGGCACAGAGAGACAGGAAACACAGGGAUAAAUACACUGGCACAGAGAGACAGGAAACACAGGGAUAAAUACACUGGGGCAGAGAGACAGGAAACACAGGGAUAAAUACACUGGCACUG